ACGUGGGCCACCACGCCCAGCCUCAAAGCCUCACCAUUUAACUAUAACAUUGACUGAUUCUAAGUACAUAAACUCUUUUUUUUUUUUUGGUACUGGGGAUUGAACUCGGGUCCUUGCGCUUACAAGGCAGGCCACCAAACUGCCUAGCUAAAUCCCCAGCCCUAAACUCUUAAUCAAUGUUUAUUGUCAUUUCUGAUAGAAAUAACUGUAGAGUGAUAGGUUAUAUAUUUCUCAUUUAAUUUAGGCUUAUCCAGAAAUUCUAGGAAUUUUCAUUUAAUUUAGGCUUAUCCAAAAAUUUUAGGAAUUUUCUUUUUUCUUUUUAAUUGAAAGCAAGGGUCUGAUCAGGCAAAUAACUUUUUACAUACUAAAGGUCUAUCUUGGACCCAAGGCUGCCGUUCAGGCUUCCUUUGAUAUACACACACAAAGAAAUCUUAAUUAUACCCAUUAGGGCCCAAGCUUUGGCACCCUGAGACAAGAACAUGACAGGAGCCUAAAAACAACAGUAAAUUCUUGCUGUGUUUGUGAAAUGUCAAUAAAGAUUUGGCUCUGAAGAGGGAAAAUGAAGCGUCCUGGAGUUUACUCCUGGCUUCAACCACCAUUUUCCAGCGUGAGCCCACCCAGGCCAGAGCAGAGCUAUCUUUAAAAUGGGAAUACUGUGUCUUUGACCCUGACCCAAGAUUCUUUACACCUCUGAUGAUUAGCAUCGUGUACAAAUGGGCCUUGGGUGAUAAUUUCUGAACCCAGAGAUUUUCCCUGAACUCUGGCCCAGGGGAGUUUUUCUCCCUGGAAGGGCGCACUUUUAGGGCGAUCCUCGCCCUUCCUGCUUUGCUUUCUCUCCCUAGAACUUGCCCUGGGGCUCGGAGGAGAAACCUGAAGGCCCAAAUUAGAUCUCUUUUCUUUCUCUUUGCCUUACUUAGGGCGAAACCUCCCAAGUACUGUUCUAGCGGAAAAGCAUUCUCUGGUCGAGCAGAUGGAGAAGAGACCCGGACCAGCGUGGUCCCUCCCAGCCACCCUCCCUUCGGGAUUAGCUACCCCCAGCGCCGCUCAGGCGCACCAGCCCGUGCGUCCCCGUUCGCCCAGCUUCCGUCGCCUCUCUGCAACCGCAAACCCGCCGCCAGCCUAGCCGAGCCAUCCCGGGCAUCCCCGCUCCCCGAGCCCGUGGACCUGGGACCUCGAACCCGGGACGCGCGCGCACGACAGCCGAGCAGGUGCUCCUUUUACAUGCUUGUCUUUUCCUUUCUCGCUCGAGCUGUCCGGUGAUGACUUUCGGCCUUAGUGACACCGAAAGGAAAAACGCGGAAGAGGGGAAGCCCUACAGGAUGAUUUAGCGGGGGCCCAGCCUCCUCUCCAAGGAGAGGUGCUUGCCAGGCGACUUUCUCGGUCCUCUUCGCUGGCCCCUUUAAGAAGCCAAAUCAGUCCAACUGCGGCUGUUUGUAUUGCUAAUCCCCAGGAGCCCCGUUAAAAAAAAAAAAAAAAAA
RNAcentral lists this long non-coding RNA (1478 nucleotides) under Fukomys damarensis (Damara mole-rat). Its description in RNAcentral is "lncRNA (ENSFDAG00000027673.1)". Lineage: Eukaryota; Metazoa; Chordata; Mammalia; Rodentia; Bathyergidae. The record is from RNAcentral.